UCUUACAUGUUUCUUUGACCGUGUCUG
RNAcentral lists this small RNA (27 nucleotides) under Bombyx mori (domestic silkworm). Its description in RNAcentral is "ovarian small RNA-30076". The record is from RNAcentral. Lineage: Eukaryota; Metazoa; Arthropoda; Insecta; Lepidoptera; Bombycidae.